Molecule: ribosomal RNA, 301 nt
Filed under: uncultured bacterium
Lineage: Bacteria
Description: bacterial SSU rRNA
Rfam family: Bacterial small subunit ribosomal RNA
Source: RNAcentral
AAUGAACGCCGGCGGCGUGCUUAACACAUGCAAGUCGAGCGAGAAAGCUUCUUCGGAAGUGAGUACAGCGGCGGACGGGUGAGUAACACGUAAGAAUUUACCCUUUAGUGAAGGAUACCUCUGAGAAAUCAGGGUUAAUACUGCAUAAGUCCCUUCGGGGAGAAAGAUGGCCUCUUUGCUGUCGCUAAAGGAUAAGCUUGCGGGCUAUUAGUUUGUUGGUGAGGUAAAGGCUCACCAAGGCGAUGAUGGCUAGCCGGCCUGAGAGGGUGUACGGCCACACUGGAACUUAGAUACGGUCCAG